AUGUAUGUCUAAGUUUAGAAAAUAGUAUAAACAUAAAUUUUACAGUCACAAUGUGAAGGUGGUUGAGAAGGAAACAGUAAUGAAAAGUUGAGGUUACAUAUUUGGUGGCUCUCAUGGUGGUGGUGGCUACGGUGAUGGUGGCUGACUGAUGUAUGUGGUUAUGGAAGAGUUGAUAGUGAUUAUAAAUGAGAUAGUGAUGAUUAUGGAGGAAGAGAUAGUGAUCGAAGAUGCGGUGGUUGAUAGGAAGGAAACAACGAUAAAUAUGAAAGAUGUAAAAAAUAUUACAGAUCUGGCAGUGGUCGUAGUGAAGGUGGCUACGGU
RNAcentral lists this long non-coding RNA (321 nucleotides) under Brassica napus (rape). Its description in RNAcentral is "long non-coding RNA (BNAP_LNC013579)". Lineage: Eukaryota; Viridiplantae; Streptophyta; Magnoliopsida; Brassicales; Brassicaceae. The record is from RNAcentral.